Non-coding RNA from Gymnothorax javanicus (giant moray), 74 nucleotides. The record is from the annotation of a GenBank genome assembly. NCBI's taxonomy places the organism in Eukaryota, Metazoa, Chordata, Actinopteri, Anguilliformes, Muraenidae.
GGAUCUUUGGCGAUGUGGUCAGUGCACAUGACUCUUACCCAAGUGUCUGGGGUUCAAUUCCCUGCCUGGGUCCU